UUAAUGGGUUUCUUUUGAAUGUUGGAUUCUUUGAUUUUUUUUUUCUCCUAGAUUAUGGAAGUUGUGAACUGGGUUCUUUUUUUUUUUUUUUGGGAAGGGUAUGCUUCACUUUUUUAUAAUAAUUAAUUGAUUACCUUGGCAUUUGUUGUUUUGAUUUGUUCUUUUAUCGUCACGUUGUUCAUUUUUUAGUUGUUAUACUUUUUUUUUUCCCUUGAAGGAACUAAUUGCAUCAGGAAUUAUAGCCGGCUAGAUGUAUAAGCUGAGCUUUAGAUCUAUGGCCUAGAUUCUAAAAAUCUGUAUUUGUGUUUAUCAGAUUCUCAUAAAAUUAUUACCACCAUGUUUAAAAUUACUACUUAUUUGGGCUAGCUAGUUUGGAUCAUAUGACAUGUUCUUAAGCUGUAUGCCAGAACAUCAUUUAUGGAUGCAGAAACAUUGAAUUAGUUGACAGUUUCUUUUCCUAGUUCAAUUGGAACUCUUAACUUUUUAAUAUUUUUGGGGGAGAAAAACUAACAUUGAAAGUUUAAUUCCUUUGAUUUUCUUCAAAGUGACACCAAUUGAAAAUUUGUUUAUGUUACAGUUCUCUUGAAGUGAACGCAUAGGUUCUCCACUCUCAAUAUUUGUUUGUUUUUCCUUCCUGCUUUUAGCAAGCUAUGAAUUUAAAUAGUGUUUGGAUAGACUUGUCUUUCUUCUUUCAUUAUCUAAAAUUUCAUUUCUUGCCUUAUUUUUAUUUGGAUAAACCAUCCCUCAGCCAAUGGGCACUUAUAUUGGUUGUUGGUUGCUACAAAUUCUCAAACAAUAGUGCAACCUUAUUCUGGAGCUUUAAUGACUCGAAAGUCCUGUUCAGUUGGUGGGCUAGCAUCACUGGGCCAUGGAACUGCAUUAUGGACACAUUUAUCGGAUUUUGAAUUCUUCAUGGAGUUAUGUCGCAUUUUAUUUGGUUAAUUAUAUGUGUGGAUGUCCUGCACUCACUUGUUUCCCAUGUUGCCUUAGGUGCACUUGAUAGAUUAUUUGGAGAUGGACCCUGGGGUAGGUGAUGGUGUAAGGCCUUAGACGUUGAUAAGGUGUUUUUUUUUUUUUUUAAUCGAAAAGCAAUUUGACCUUGUAUCAUUUGUUUUUGACAUGGUUUUUCUAUAGUUUUAUAUUUGUGUGCUAGUUGAUCACCUAGUUGUCCCAUCUGUCAUUAUGUUCUUAUUUUCAUCAUUUGCAUAGGCCAUUGUGGCUAUCCUUUUCUUUUAUUCUAACAAAAGCUGAAGAUCUUCGCUUCAACAGAAGGAUUGAGACUCCUUGAUUCAGCACUGAAAUAUAUACAAAUCUGAUGCAUUUUGAUGUCUAGUCUUAUUCUCAUUCCUACUUCUAAUUAUCAUUUACCUUUAUUUUUUUGUUUGGUCUUGUAAUAUAUCCUUGUAGUAUAUUUGAUUUUCAUGUUGAUUGCUGAGUAGAGAACUUUGAAAGCUGGAAAGCUGAAUGAGAAAGUUCUGAAUCUGUUCAUGGCGACCGGCAAAGAUGAAAUCCUUUCAGUU
Molecule: unclassified non-coding RNA, 1520 nt
Filed under: Hevea brasiliensis (rubber tree)
Lineage: Eukaryota; Viridiplantae; Streptophyta; Magnoliopsida; Malpighiales; Euphorbiaceae
Source: RNAcentral